Non-coding RNA from Pantherophis guttatus, 219 nucleotides. The record is from RefSeq and is a predicted model, not a curated record. Lineage: Eukaryota; Metazoa; Chordata; Lepidosauria; Squamata; Colubridae.
AAAGUGCCUGAAGUUCCCAAAGCUGUCCCAGAAGAGAAAGUGCCAGUUCCCAAAAAGGUGCCGCCUCCACCAGCCAAAGUGCCUGAAGUUCCCAAAGCUGUCCAGAAGAGAAAGUGCCUGUUCCCAAAAAAGUGCCACCUCCACCAGCCAAAGUUCCCAAACCUGUCCCAGAAGAGGAAGUGCCAGUUCCUAAAAAAGUGCCAGCUCCACCAGCCAAAG